GGAAUUGUUCGCAAUGGGCGCAAGCCUGACGACGCAACGCCGCGUGGAGGAUGAAGAUCUUCGGGUCGUAAACUCCUUUCGACCGAGAUGAACAUCCCGCGAUCUAAUAAGUCGCGGGACUGACAGUAUCGAGGGAACAAGCCCCGGCUAACUCCGUGCCAGCAGCCGCGGUAAUACGGGGGGGGGCAAGCGUUGUUCGGAAUUAUUGGGCGUAAAGGGUUCGUAGGUGGCCGGCUAAGUCAAACGUGAAAUCCCUCAGCUUAACUGGGGAACUGCGUCUGAGACUGGUCGGCUUGAGUGCAGGAGAGGAACGCGGAAUUCCAGGUGUAGCGGUGAAAUGCGUAGAUAUCUGGAGGAACACCGGUGGCGAAGGCGGCGUUCUGGACUGCUACUGACACUGAGGAACGAAAGCCAGGGGAGCAA
RNAcentral lists this ribosomal RNA (423 nucleotides) under uncultured bacterium. RNAcentral's name for it is "bacterial SSU rRNA". It matches the Rfam family "Bacterial small subunit ribosomal RNA", at positions 358 to 771 of the family's 1533-position model. The record is from RNAcentral.